UUGACAAUAAGACAGGAUCAGGUCCAGAAUAUAAAUAUGUGUGAUACCAACCUGUAAACGCACACUUGAGACACAUCAGAUCAGACGGUUGACUCUUCAGACUCUUCCUGUGAAAAUGGAUCAAAGUUUUAGAAGUUGGACUGAGAUCCAGGAGGCAGAUCAGGACACUCAGAAGAUUGUGAUGAGGUGAAGCUUCAAGUGGAGGAAAAGAAAAGCAAGAACUAUGAAGUCUACAAAGCACUUCAGUUCAGAAGUUUGCUUUUGAUGGGAUGUAGUCACUACCUUUUUAAGGUUCAUGUGGGAGGAAGUCACUACCUUCAUCUGAUGGUGUACCAAAUGUGCCGUGGAGAAAUCACGUUGAAGUGUGUGAAGGAGGUAGAGGAACCCCUUGAACCUUCUAAUGAUAAAAUCAAUGUGCAAAGGAAUAAUAAAGAAUUAAUCAAAA
This is a long non-coding RNA of Notolabrus celidotus (New Zealand spotty), 445 nucleotides long. RefSeq lists it as uncharacterized. The transcript has 4 exons. The record is from RefSeq and is a predicted model, not a curated record. NCBI's taxonomy places the organism in Eukaryota, Metazoa, Chordata, Actinopteri, Labriformes, Labridae.